UCCAGAAAUUGGCCCCAAUCUAUUCAGUCUUUCCGAACCGUUUUCUGUAUGUGUAAGUGUCUGUGUUGUGUGAAUGUGCGGCGAUUGUGUGAGAGACCGAGAAAACGAACGAACGACGCUAAGAAAAAUGUUCACUUCUCAC
This is a non-coding RNA of Caenorhabditis elegans, 142 nucleotides long. NCBI's taxonomy places the organism in Eukaryota, Metazoa, Nematoda, Chromadorea, Rhabditida, Rhabditidae. The record is from Ensembl.